GGAGAGUUACACGUGGGUUACCUACCCCUGGAUCCGGGAUAGCGGCGGGAAACUGCCGGUAAUACCGGAUAAUGUCUCCGGACCAAAGGUGAGAUUCCGUCCGGGGAGGGGCCCGCGUCCUAUUAGCUUGUUGGUGGGGUAAUGGCCUACCAAGGCAAAGAUGGGUACCGGGUGUGAGAGCAUGGCCAGGCUCACUGGGACUGAGACACUGCCCAGACACCUACGGGUGGCUGCAGUCGAGAAUCUUCGGCAAUGGGCGCAAGCCUGACCGAGCGACGCCGCGUGCGGGAUGAAGGCCUUCGGGUUGUAAACCGCUGUCAGAGAGGCGGAAAUGCAUAGGGGUUCUCCCCUAUGUUUGACCUAUUCUCAGAGGAAGUCCGGGCUAAGUUCGUGCCAGCAGCCGCGGUAAUACGAACCGGACGAACGUUAUUCGGAGUCACUGGGCUUAAAGAGUA
Molecule: ribosomal RNA, 455 nt
Filed under: uncultured bacterium
Lineage: Bacteria
Description: bacterial SSU rRNA
Rfam family: Bacterial small subunit ribosomal RNA
Source: RNAcentral